CGAAGGGGCAGCAAUGUCACUGUCGUACGGGUGCGUAACGCGUAUGCAACCUACCCAACACUGGGGGAUAGCCCGGGGAAACCCGGAUUAAUACCGCAUAAAACAGGGGCACCGCAUGGUGAUAUUUGUUAAAGAUUUAUUGGUGAUAGAUGGGCAUGCGUUCGAUUAGCUAGUUGGCGGGGUAACGGCCCACCAAGGCGACGAUCGAUAGGGGAGCUGAGAGGUUGAUCCCCCACACGGGCACUGAGAUACGGGCCCGACUCCUACGGGAGGCAGCAGUAGGGAAUAUUGGGCAAUGGAUGCAAGUCUGACCCAGCCAUGCCGCGUGCCGGAUGAAGGCCCUCAGGGUUGUAAACGGCUUUUAUUCGGGAAGAAGAGCAGGGAUGCGUCCUUGUGUGACGGUACCGAAUGAAUAAGCACCGGCUAACUCCGUGCCAGCAGCCGCGGUAAUACGGAGGGUGCGAGCGUUGUCCGGAUUUAUUGGGUUUAAAGGGUGCGUAGGUGGCCUGUUAAGUCAGUGGUGAAAUACGGUUGCUCAACAAUCGAGGUGCCAUUGAUACUGACCGGCUUGAAAUAAUUGGAGGCUGCCGGAAUGGAUGGUGUAGCGGUGAAAUGCAUAGAUAUCAUCCAGAACACCGAUUGCGAAGGCAGGUGGCUACGAUUGGUUUGACACUGAGGCACGAAAGCAUGGGGAGCAAACAGGAUUAGAUACCCUGGUAG
RNAcentral lists this ribosomal RNA (720 nucleotides) under Dyadobacter fermentans. RNAcentral describes it as "bacterial SSU rRNA". It matches the Rfam family "Bacterial small subunit ribosomal RNA", at positions 63 to 793 of the family's 1533-position model. The record is from RNAcentral. Lineage: Bacteria; Pseudomonadati; Bacteroidota; Cytophagia; Cytophagales; Spirosomataceae.